This 68-nucleotide ribosomal RNA is filed under the name uncultured bacterium. Its description in RNAcentral is "partial 16S ribosomal RNA". The record is from RNAcentral.
UGGUAACCUGCCUCAAAGAGGGAAUAGCCUCCGAGAGGAGAUUAAUACCGCAUAAUAUGUUUAGGUCG